RNAcentral lists this ribosomal RNA (406 nucleotides) under uncultured bacterium. RNAcentral describes it as "partial 16S ribosomal RNA". It matches the Rfam family "Bacterial small subunit ribosomal RNA", at positions 30 to 526 of the family's 1533-position model. The record is from RNAcentral.
AUUGAACGCUGGCGGCAGGCCUAACACAUGCAAGUCGAGCGAGCGGCGGACGGGUGAGUAAUGUCUGGGGAACUGCCCGAUGGAGGGGGAUAACUACUGGAAACGGUAGCUAAUACCGCAUACUAUCAGAUGAGCCCAUAUGGGAUUAGCUAGUAGGUGAGGUAAUGGCUCACCUAGGCGACGAUCCCUAGCUGGUCUGAGAGGAUGAUCAGCCACACUGGGACUGAGACACGGCCCAGACUCCUACGGGAGGCAGCAGUGGGGAAUAUUGCACAAUGGGCGCAAGCCUGAUGCAGCCAUGCCGCGUGUAUGAAGAAGGCCUUCGGGUUGUAAAGCACUUUCAGCCGGGAGGCGUUACCGACAGAAGAAGCACCGGCUAACUCCGUGCCAGCCGCCGCGGUAAUAC